AGGUGUCCGCUGCGAAAUGGGAUGCCAAGUGCCUAUGCCCGGCUUCCCCCCCGCCCAUCGAUGAUGGGUGCCCAUGGCAUAGGCACGCCCCGGUCGUCGGGCUCGGUUGUCGGUCGGCGGUCUCCGACCGUCGUUCCGAUCGUCGGUCCGGCGACCACGGUCGGGUGGGAUAGUAGUGCUUUGUUGAUAUUCUUCGAGGGGAGACGGUCGGUUCAUCUCAUAUUUUGAUUCUUCCAACGGGUAUUCGGAGGACAAAUCAUGAGCACGGCUUCGGUCGUGUGGGCGUGGUAGCGACGAAUACAGCGGUUGGGUCAGGAUUUGAGUUUUAACCUCUCGGGGGAGCGCAACACUGUCUUUACUUUCUCAUUCGGCCGUUGAUGGAGAUUAUUCAUUUUUCUCCGUCAUGUCCCGUCGGAAAUUUUGUCCCUUGGUCUGGUGGGAUAGUAGUGCUUUGUUGAUAUUCUUCGAUCGGUUCAUCUCAUAUUUAGAUUCUUCCAACGGGGUAUUCGGAGGGCAAAUCAUGAGCACGGCUUCGGUCGUGUGGGCGUGGUAGCGACGAAUACAGCGGUCGGGUCAAGAUUUGAGUUUUAACCUCUCGGGGGAGCGCAACACUGUCUUUACUUUCUCAUUUGGCCGUUGAUGGAGAUUAUUCAUUUUUCUCCGUCAUGUCCCGUCGGAAAUUUUGUCCCUUGGUCUGGUGGGAUAGUAGUGCUUUGUUGAUAUUCUUCGAUCGGUUCAUCUCAUAUUUAGAUUCUUCCAACGGGGUAUUCGGAGGGCAAAUCAUGAGCACGGCUUCGGUCGUGUGGGCGUGGUAGCGACGAAUACAGCGGUCGGGUCAAGAUUUGAGUUUUAACCUCUCGGGGGAGCGCAACACUGUCUUUACUUUCUCAUUUGGCCGCUAAAGAGAUUAUUCAUUAUGGUCCCUAUCAAAACAUCCCAAAAAAAUGCGGAAGAACUAGCAUGCUUCGGCUUGUGCUAACUUGAUGCAUCCUAAGGUUUGUUGCGGUGGGUUAGGCGUAAUGGAGAAUCGUUGGUUUUUGAAAUUUUUGUCCCUGUCCCUUUAAGGUUAUUGUCCCUCGGAUUGUGUGUUUCUUCACGUGAAGCGGUGCUGGUGUGGUCUUGCUUGAUGUUUCCGCAUGCUCAGCGGUUCUAGUAAUCGUUGGGUUGUGGUUCGUUCGGUUGGGUCGUCAUCAAGUGUACGCAACUCAUGUGUGAGUGGUGGUUGGAUGGCAUGGGUUUGCAAGCUCCUUGCUCAGCGCAACGAAUUGUAAGCUCUCCAUCCUUUUCAUAGUCUUCCCCAAGCAUUGUCAUUUGCCUUGUGGGUAAGAUCGGUAUCCCUGUGUUUUUUACCAAUUGAAUGGAAUUCGAUUGUUUUCAUUUCUCUAUUCGCGCAAGGUUCCCUUAGGGGUGUUGGGUGGACGAUAGGCUGACCUCGUGUUCCAGGUACAUCUCGCAUUUUUGUGCGGUUACCAUGGCCCAUGGGGUUAUGCUUGUUCUCUUGGAUUCGGAUCGUUAGUUGUGGGCGAGGGGUUACGACCUCCAUUCGUCCAAGCUAUUAUGCAUUUGUCAAUUGACACGAACGACUGCCGCACUCGUCUUGGCUUUUUAUAGUUGAAUGGCUGUACAAUGUCCAUGCGAGUGUCGGUGUCGUGAAGGAAUGC
This 1661-nucleotide unclassified non-coding RNA is filed under the name Acer glabrum. RNAcentral describes it as "external transcribed spacer". The record is from RNAcentral. Lineage: Eukaryota; Viridiplantae; Streptophyta; Magnoliopsida; Sapindales; Sapindaceae.